RNAcentral lists this ribosomal RNA (253 nucleotides) under uncultured bacterium. Its description in RNAcentral is "partial 16S ribosomal RNA". It matches the Rfam family "Bacterial small subunit ribosomal RNA", at positions 524 to 776 of the family's 1533-position model. The record is from RNAcentral.
UACGUAGGGUGCGAGCGUUAAUCGGAAUUACUGGGCGUAAAGCGUGCGCAGGCGGUUUUGUAAGCCAGAUGUGAAAUCCCCGGGCUUAACCUGGGAAUGGCAUUUGGGACUGCAAGGCUGGAGUGUGGCAGAGGAGACUGGAAUUCCUGGUGUAGCAGUGAAAUGCGUAGAUAUCAGGAGGAACACCGGUGGCGAAGGCGGCUACCUGGACGGUUACUGACGCUGAGACGCGAAAGCGUGGGGAGCAAACAGG